RNAcentral lists this ribosomal RNA (465 nucleotides) under uncultured bacterium. Its description in RNAcentral is "partial 16S ribosomal RNA". It matches the Rfam family "Bacterial small subunit ribosomal RNA", at positions 338 to 795 of the family's 1533-position model. The record is from RNAcentral.
CCUACGGGAGGCAGCAGUGGGGAAUAUUGCGCAAUGGGCGAAAGCCUGACGCAGCGACGCCGCGUGGGGGAUGAAGGUCUUCGGAUCGUAAACCUCUGUCAGCAGGGAAGAACGGUCCCUGUGCUAAUCAGCAGUGAAUUGACGGUACCUGCAAAGGCAGCACCGGCUAACUCCGUGCCAGCAGCCGCGGUAAUACGGAGGGUGCGAGCGUUAAUCGGAAUUACUGGGCGUAAAGCGCACGUAGGCGGUAUUGCAAGUCAAUGGUGAAAGCCCCGGGCUCAACGUGGGAAAUGCUUUUGAUACUAGCAAACUGGAGUGUGUGAGAGGAUAGUAGAAUUCCAGGUGUAGGAGUGAAAUCCGUAGAUAUCUGGAGGAAAAUCAGUGGCGAAGGCGACUAUCUGGCACAUAACUGACGCUGAGGAGCGAAAGCGUGGGUAGCAAACAGGAUUAGAUACCCUGGUAGUC